UACGUAGGGUCCGAGCGUUGUCCGGAUUUAUUGGGCGUAAAGAGCGUGUAGGCGGCCAGGUAGGUCUGCUGUGAAAACUCGAGGCUCAACCUCGAGAUGUCGGCGGAAACCAUCUGGCUAGAGUCCGGAAGAGGAAAGUGGAAUUCCUGGUGUAGCGGUGAAAUGCGCAGAUAUCAGGAAGAACACCCGUGGCGAAGGCGGCUUUCUGGGACGGUACUGACGCUGAGACGCGAAAGCGUGGGGAGCGAACAGG
This 253-nucleotide ribosomal RNA is filed under the name uncultured bacterium. RNAcentral's name for it is "partial 16S ribosomal RNA". It matches the Rfam family "Bacterial small subunit ribosomal RNA", at positions 524 to 776 of the family's 1533-position model. The record is from RNAcentral.